CCUACGGGAGGCUGCAGUGGGGGAUAUUGCACAAUGGGGGAAACCCUGAUGCAGCGACGCCGCGUGGGUGAAGAAGCGCCUCGGCGCGUAAAGCCCUGUCAGCAGGGAAGAAAAUGACGGUACCUGAAGAAGAAGCCCCGGCUAACUACGUGCCAGCAGCCGCGGUAAUAAGUAGGGGGCAAGCGUUAGACGGAUUUACUGGGUGUAAAGGGGGCGCAGACGGCGUUGCAAGACAGGAGGGAAAGCCGGGGGCCCAACCCCGGGACUGCACUUGGAACUGCGUGGCUAGAGUGCAGGAGGGGCAGGCGGAAUUCCUGGUGUAGCGGUGAAAUGCGUAGAUAUCAGGAGGAACACCGGUGGCGAAGGCGGCCUGCUGGACUGCAACUGACGUUGAGGCCCGAAAGCGUGGGGAGCAAACAGGAUUAGAUACCCGUGUAGUC
This 440-nucleotide ribosomal RNA is filed under the name uncultured bacterium. Its description in RNAcentral is "partial 16S ribosomal RNA". It matches the Rfam family "Bacterial small subunit ribosomal RNA", at positions 338 to 795 of the family's 1533-position model. The record is from RNAcentral.